RNAcentral lists this long non-coding RNA (565 nucleotides) under Eutrema salsugineum. Its description in RNAcentral is "long non-coding RNA (ESAL_LNC001159)". Lineage: Eukaryota; Viridiplantae; Streptophyta; Magnoliopsida; Brassicales; Brassicaceae. The record is from RNAcentral.
UCCCGUUCUAGACCUCAACCGGUUUCAGACAGAUUUGAUGAGAUUGAUGGUUCUUGUUCUGAUUCUGCUUGUGGAGUCAUUCUUGAAAAUGGUGUUUGCUGCAAUAGAAGACCUGUCAAAGGAAGAAAGAGAUGUAUAGAGCAUAAAGGGCAGAGAAUAUACCGUGUUUCCCCUGAAAAACACACACCGCCACAGCCCGAGAUCUUCACGGGACAAGUUAUUUGUGGAGUGAUCUUACCUAACAUGGAAGCUUGCACUAAGAGACCUGUUUCAAGAAGAAAACGAUGCGAGGAUCACAAAGGCAUGAGGAUCAACGCUUUCCUCUUUCUUCUUAACCGGACAGAUCGUGAGAAAACCGUCAAAUCUGAGAAACCUUAUUCUGAAUCGCAUACCGAAGACACAAACAAAGAAAAAGCUUUGAAUCGCUUCUGUGAAGCUACAACAAAGAAUGGUUUACCUUGCACAAGAAGUUCUCCUAAAGGAAGCAAAAGAUGUUGGCAACAUAAGUAGGAUAUAGAAAAGAAACAGAUGUUAAAAGAAGAGAGUAAACAAAUCGUUAUUUAAA